This 36-nucleotide ribosomal RNA is filed under the name uncultured Pseudomonadota bacterium. Its description in RNAcentral is "uncultured proteobacterium partial 23S ribosomal RNA". Lineage: Bacteria; Pseudomonadati; Pseudomonadota. The record is from RNAcentral.
GGUUAAGCGAAUGAAGCGUACACGGUGGAUGCCUUG